GAGACCUUCCAGCCUUCCCUACAGCGUAGAGGCGAAUCUGCAGUCAACUGUCUCGUCUUUCAAGGGAGAAACUAGAGCAGCUUGCCAGCAGAACAGGCAGGAAUGAGCAGCCUCAGGUAUGUCUUUAUCAGCAGCAUAAAACCGGACUAAUACAGUAAAUUGGUACCAGGAGUGGGGUGUUGCUGAAAAGAUACCUGAAAAUGUGAAAGCAACUUUGGAACUGGGUAUCGGGCAGAGGUUGGAACACUUUGGAGGCCUCAGAAGAAGAUAGUAAAAUGUGUGAGAAAGUUUGGAACUUUCUAGAGACUUGUUGAAUGACUGACCAAAAACCUGAUAGUGAUAUGGACAAUAAGGUCCAGGCUGAGGUGGCCUCAGAUGGAGAUGAGGAACCUUUUGGGAGCUGCCUCAGAUGGAGAUGAGGAGCUUGUUGGGAACUGGAGCAAAGGUUACUCUUGUUAUGUUUUAGCAAAGAGACUGGAAGCAUUUUGCCCCUGCCCUAGAGAUUUGUGGAACUUUGAACUUGAGAGAGAUGGUUUAGGGUAUCUGGUGGUACAAAUUUCUAAGUAGCAAAGCAUUCAAAAUGUGACUUGGGUGCUGUUAAAAGCAUUCCAUUUUAAAAGAGAAACAGAGCAUAAAGUUCAGAAAAUUUGCAGCCUGAUGAUGCAGUAGAAAAGAAAAACCCAUUUUCUGGGGAGAAAUUCAAGCCAGCUG
This 711-nucleotide long non-coding RNA is filed under the name Homo sapiens (human). RNAcentral's name for it is "HSALNT0382061". Lineage: Eukaryota; Metazoa; Chordata; Mammalia; Primates; Hominidae. The record is from RNAcentral.